RNAcentral lists this ribosomal RNA (250 nucleotides) under uncultured archaeon. Its description in RNAcentral is "partial 16S ribosomal RNA". It matches the Rfam family "Bacterial small subunit ribosomal RNA", at positions 524 to 773 of the family's 1533-position model. The record is from RNAcentral.
UACGUAGGGAGCGAGCGUUGUCCGGAAUUACUGGGCGUAAAGGGUGUGUAGGCGGCUUGGCAAGUCAGAUGUGAAAUCCCCGGGCUUAACUCGGGAGUUGCAUUUGAAACUGCUAGGCUUGAGUGCAGGAGAGGAAAGCGGAAUUCCUAGUGUAGCGGUGAAAUGCGUAGAUAUUAGGAGGAACACCAGUGGCGAAGGCGGCUUUCUGGACUGUAACUGACGCUGAGGCACGAAAGCGUGGGGAGCAAAC